Molecule: ribosomal RNA, 454 nt
Filed under: Bacillus licheniformis
Lineage: Bacteria; Bacillati; Bacillota; Bacilli; Caryophanales; Bacillaceae
Description: bacterial LSU rRNA
Rfam family: Bacterial large subunit ribosomal RNA
Source: RNAcentral
AUAGGGUAAGCGCGGUAUUGGAUAUCCGCGUCCAAGCAGUUAGGCUGGGAAAUAGGCAAAUCCGUUUCCCAUAAGGCUGAGCUGUGAUGGCGAGCGAAAUAUAGUAGCGAAGUUCCUGAUUCCACACUGCCAAGAAAAGCCUCUAGCGAGGUGAGAGGUGCCCGUACCGCAAACCGACACAGGUAGGCGAGGAGAGAAUCCUAAGGUGAUCGAGAGAACUCUCGUUAAGGAACUCGGCAAAAUGACCCCGUAACUUCGGGAGAAGGGGUGCUCUGUUAGGGUGCAAGCCCGAGAGAGCCGCAGUGAAUAGGCCCAGGCGACUGUUUAGCAAAAACACAGGUCUCUGCGAAGCCGUAAGGCGAAGUAUAGGGGCUGACGCCUGCUCGGUGCUGGAAGGUUAAGAGGAGCGCUUAGCGUAAGCGAAGGUGCGAAUUGAAGCCCCAGUAAACGGCGG